GAUGAACGCUGGCGGCAUGCCUAACACAUGCAAGUCGAACGAAGCACUUGAGUAGCUUGCUAUGAGAGUGACUUAGUGGCGAACGGGUGAGUAAUGCAUGAGCAACCUGCCCUUCAGUGGGGGACAACAGUUGGAAACGACUGCUAAUACCGCAUAACACUUUUUUAAGGCAUCUUAGAGAAGUCAAAGAUUUAUUGCUGAAGGAUGGGCUCAUGUCUGAUUAGCUAGUUGGUGAGGUAACGGCUCACCAAGGCGACGAUCAGUAGCCGGUCUGAGAGGAUGAACGGCCACAUUGGGACUGAGAUACGGCCCAGACUCCUACGGGAGGCAGCAGUGGGAAUAUUGGGCAAUGGUCUAACGACUGACCAGCCAUGCCGCGUGAAGGUCACGGCCCUAUGGGUCUUAAACUUCUUUUACCGAGGACGAAGAAAUGACGGUACUCGGCGAAUAAGCUCCGGCUAACUACGUGCCAG
Molecule: ribosomal RNA, 473 nt
Filed under: uncultured bacterium
Lineage: Bacteria
Description: bacterial SSU rRNA
Rfam family: Bacterial small subunit ribosomal RNA
Source: RNAcentral